GACGAACGCUGGCGGCGUGCUUAACACAUGCCAGUCGAACGGAAAGGCCCCGUUGUGGGUACUCGAGCGGCGAACGGGGGAGUGAGACGUGAGUAAGCAUCCCUUGCCUUCGGGAUAACUUCAGGAAAGGGAGGCUAGUACUGGAUAGGAAUACUUGCUUCAUGCGGGGGGUUGGAUAGCGACGGCGGGUUUGGAUGGAAUCGCUGCGUUUCAGCGUGCUGGUGGGGUAGUGGCUUACCAAGGCGUUGUCGGGUAGCCGGCCUGAGUGGGCGACCGGCCACGUUGGGACUGAGAUACGGCCCAGACUCCUACGGGAGGCAGCAGUGGGGAAUAUUGCACAAUGGGCGGAAGCCUGAUGCAACAACGCCGCGUGCGGGAUGACGGCCUUCGGGUUGUAAACCGCGUUCAGCAGGGGCGAAGCUUGUGGUGACGGUACCUUCAAAAGAAGCACCGGCUAACUACGUG
This 465-nucleotide ribosomal RNA is filed under the name uncultured bacterium. RNAcentral describes it as "partial 16S ribosomal RNA". It matches the Rfam family "Bacterial small subunit ribosomal RNA", at positions 28 to 507 of the family's 1533-position model. The record is from RNAcentral.